CACAAGGUGACGAUCUUUUUAAGGGCGGAACCAAAGUUAGGGAAGUUUUGGUUCCGCCCGGAAGGUUUCCCCACCGGGCCACAUACGAGGACGGACCUUCUCACUUCCUGGUUUCCAGGACAACGGAAUCAGGGGUUGACGAGCCGCAGGUGAGAGGAAUGAGGCCAGCGAAGGGUGAUUGGAGGCCGUAUGAAAUAUAUAGCUCUGCUGAAACACAAAGAGAGGAGCGAUUGACACGGAGCGAUGUACACGAGAGGCGGUUGACACGGGGGAGUCCCUUUGCCAAAGGCAAUACAAAGACACGCACCUUUUGAAGAGCCCGAAGGCUCUGUUGAUCCGGGGAUCGCUGAAGCGAGCGGAAAGAGGACAGAGCCACAGGAGGCGAAAGGAAGGCAAGCUGUGGAUCUUUAAGGAGGAGCCCCCCGAAAUCGCUGGAGAGUUAACUGCUGAGUGUUGUUGUGUAUCGUAGCGCCGAGUUGGGCUCGCCGGAUACGCUGCUUGGAUCGCCGUAUUGCUCUCUCUCUCUCUCGUUGGACCAUAGAUUUAUGCAAAGGAGGAUAUCGACAACCUUAUAGGUGGAAUACUAGACGGACACUAACGUGGACGAGAGGAACGGAGGAAGAGGGAAACUUGCUGCUGUGAGUUUGCAUCUGUGAAGAAGUGGUAUGGUGGCUGGAAAAAGCCUCAUUCAUGCAUUUGGAGUUAUUACAGCGUGAAGUCAACCUAGGACGAAGGCAGACAGUAAUUGUGAGUAACUACAUCCCUUGAAGUAGGUGUUUUGGAUACAGUUGAUCUAGAUAAUCGUUGUUGAGUGUUUUCAAGAGAGAGUGAGUGGCCCUACCCCUGUCCCAGUGUGGUGGGUGAGCCGAAGGGUUUUGUGUGGAAGCAGCUACAGUGACGACAACAACCAAACACUAGGCCGUCUACCAUCUCCCUUUUCUCGCCCAGAGCGAAGUAGAAGAAGACGGGUGUCAUUGUGUGCACUGAGCGUGGUGGAGUGGAGGCGAGUGAGAUCCGCCAGCCCGAGGUCUCGACGAAAGGGCGCCCCGGUCCAGUUUUCGAUCGACCAACGGGUCUCGAGGAAAGGGCAGCGCUCGACCCGGUGUGCUGGCGUGACGUCCUCGCCCCUCUGCCAAUCAACGAGUCCGCCGAGUGGGUCUUGGCCCCCGGCGUCUCCUUGCGAACCACUGUCUAAUCAACGCACUGCAUAGCUAGCCAGCGUUAAGCCCGCCAUCCGCAGUUCUCUGUGGAGAGAAAGAGAGCCAGCGUGAACACUGAGAUAUUGAGUUGUGGAGAGAGCCAUACCUACCUGGAAGCUGUAACCAGCACAGAGGUGAGAGAAAACCUUAGAAUCAAUUCACCGUGUCCUUGCAUCCCAACAGUCAUCUGUGGAGAGAGAAAGAGAGCCAGCGUGAGCACUGAGAUAUUGAGCUGUGGAGAGAGCCAUACCUACCUAGAAGCUGUAACCAGCACAGAGGUGAGAGAAAACCUUGAAAUGAUUCACUGUGUCCCUGUGUUCCAGCAGUCGUCUGUGGAGAGGAAGAGAACUAGCAUGAACGCUGAGAUACCGAGCUGUGAAGAGAGCCUAGAGGGGCCGUUAUUUUAAGUUCCCCUUUUUCCCUGCCUUAUUUAUUAAUUUUAAAUAAAUUAAAUAAAGUACAUUUUAAUUUAUG
Molecule: long non-coding RNA, 1673 nt
Organism: Misgurnus anguillicaudatus (oriental weatherfish)
Lineage: Eukaryota; Metazoa; Chordata; Actinopteri; Cypriniformes; Cobitidae
Source: RefSeq, a predicted model, not a curated record